AUUUAUUUAGUUUAAAAAAAACCUCGGUUUGUGAAACCGAAAAUGGAAUAUACAAGGAAUUCCAAUAAAUA
RNAcentral lists this transfer RNA (71 nucleotides) under Amphiura sinicola. RNAcentral's name for it is "tRNA-His". The record is from RNAcentral. Lineage: Eukaryota; Metazoa; Echinodermata; Ophiuroidea; Amphilepidida; Amphiuridae.